Molecule: ribosomal RNA, 259 nt
Filed under: uncultured bacterium
Lineage: Bacteria
Description: partial 16S ribosomal RNA
Rfam family: Bacterial small subunit ribosomal RNA
Source: RNAcentral
GUCCGCACAGUAAACGAUGGAUGCUCGCCGUCCGCGAUAUACAGCGGGUGGCCAAGCGAAAGCGAUAAGCAUCCCACCUGGGGAGUACGCCGGCAACGGUGAAACUCAAAGGAAUUGACGGGGGCCCGCACAAGCGGAGGAACAUGUGGUUUAAUUCGAUGAUACGCGAGGAACCUUACCCGGGCUUGAAAUGCGGACGAUCGGGGGUGAAAGCCCCCUUCCAGCAAUGGCGUCCGCGUAGGUGCUGCAUGGUUGUCGU